Malus domestica (apple) is the source of this 3119-nucleotide non-coding RNA. The record is from RefSeq and is a predicted model, not a curated record. NCBI's taxonomy places the organism in Eukaryota, Viridiplantae, Streptophyta, Magnoliopsida, Rosales, Rosaceae.
UCUCUCUCUCUCUCUCACUGUUAUAGUGGUAGUAGUAGGAACCAUUUUUAAAUGUUCAUCUGUCCUUUAAAUUAAUACAUGAAAUUUUGGAAGUAGGGCAUUUGUUGUACUGAUUUGGUGGGUUUCUGUUCUGGUUGUGGGUGUGCUCCUGCUCCAUUGUUUGACAAUUGUCCGAGUUAUCCGGAACCCAACUCAGUUUGGUAGUUAGAGAGUGAGUGAAGUGGCUGACGGAUGUUGAAGGGUUGUUGGCCAACUGCUUCUUAAACCCAUCUCUUUGUCCCUCUGUUUCUCUUCUGUCUUCUCUCCAGAUUGCUGUGGAACCAUCUCGAUUGAGAAAAUGAAUCUGAGGAGCCAUUCUGGAUCUUAAUCUGCAAAUUAUAUCCGUAAAAUAUUGCAAAACUUGAGGCUGGAUUUGUCUCUAUACCAAAGAUUCCGCCUAAGACCAGCCAGCUAGCCACCGAAGCCAGUCCUCACCCAUCACCCAUUUUUAGGAUAUUUAUCCUGCUGCUCUGGAAGUACAGAUUGCAGUGCGCACACUCUCUCUCUCUCUCUGUCUCUCUCACUCUCUGACCCCCUGAAGGACGAGGUAAUUUUUGAGAUUGGGGGUCUCAUUCGUUCAUUCGUUUAAUCAUAAUUCGUUGGCGAAAAGAUGAAGAAGGGAGCCGUGCUGGUGGCUAUUGCUGCUACAAUUGGUAACCUCCUGCAAGGAUGGGAUAAUGCCACAAUUGCCGGGGCUAUUGUUUACAUAACGAAAGAAUUCGACUUGGGGAGUUCUUUGGAAGGCCUUGUUGUGGCCAUGUCACUCAUCGGAGCAACAAUUAUUACAACUUGCUCAGGAGCCAUAUCAGAUUGGAUUGGUCGGCGGCCAAUGUUAAUAGCAUCCUCAGUCUUUUAUUUUGUGAGUGUUGGUAAUGGUGUGGUCACCCAAUGUCUAUGUACUAUGUAUAGCAAGGCUGUUAGAUGGAUUUGGAAUCGGCCUAGCAGUUACUCUCAUCCCACUCUAUAUAUCUGAAACUGCCCCACCAGAUAUAAGGGGAUCCUUGAAUACUCUUCCGCAGUUCCUUGGUUCAGGCGGCCUGUUUCUGUCCUAUUGUAUGGUUUUUGGGAUGUCACUGAUGGACUCACCAAGCUGGAGAUUGAUGCUUGGGGUUCUUUCCAUCCCCUCUUUGAUCUACUUUGGGUUAACAGUGUUUUACUUGCCUGAAUCUCCUCGAUGGCUUGUGAGUAAGGGCAGGAUGCUUGAGGCAAAGAUUGUUCUCCAGCAGUUACGUGGCACUGAAGAUGUUUCUGGUGAACUGGCUUUGCUGGUCGAAGGUCUUGGAAUUGGGGGUGAAACAUCAAUAGAAGAGUACAUAAUAGGCCCAGCUGAUGAGCUUGGCGAUAGUCAGGAUCCAGCUGACAAAGAUAAAAUCAAGUUAUAUGGACCUGAAGAAGGCCUUUCCUGGGUUGCCAGACCUGUCACCGGACAGGGUUCUCUUAUUAGUCUUGUUUCUCGCCAAGGAAGCAUGGUAAACCAGGGCGUGCCUUUAAUGGACCCUCUUGUCACUCUGUUUGGUAGUGUUCAUGAAAAUUUCCCAGAGACUGCAAGUACCCGAAGCAUGCUUUUCCCUAAUUUUGGCAGCAUGUUCAGCACAGCAGAUCGGCCUAAGACUGACCAAUGGGAUGAAGAGAGUUUGCACGGGGAAGGUGAGGGCUAUGGAUCUGAUGGUGCUGGGGGAGACUCAGAUGACAAUUUGCAUAGUCCAUUGAUUUCACGUCAGGCAACAAGUCUGGAAAAGGAUUUAGUGCCCCCUGCUUCCCAUGGCAGUGCUCUAAGCAUGAGGCGGCACAGCAGUCUCAUGCAAGGAACAGGGGAGACAUCUGGCAGCACAGGCAUCGGUGGCGGAUGGCAGUUGGCAUGGAAGUGGUCUGAGAGAGAAGGCGAGGAUGGAAAGAAGGAAGGAGGAUUUAAAAGGGUAUAUUUGCAUCAGGAGGGAGGCCCAGGCUCCCGUCGUGGGUCCCUUGUGUCACUUCCUGGUGCUGAUGUUCCUACAGAAGGUGAGUUUAUCCAGGCUGCUGCUCUGGUUAGUCAGCCGGCUCUUUAUUCGAAAGAGCUCAUGGAUAAGCAUCCUGUUGGACCUGCAAUGGUUCAUCCAGCAGAAACAGCUUCAAAAGGACCAAUAUGGGCUGCUCUGCUUGAACCAGGAGUUAAGCAUGCAUUGUUAGUUGGAAUGGGAAUCCAGAUUCUCCAGCAGUUUUCUGGCAUAAAUGGGGUUCUCUACUACACUCCUCAAAUUCUUGAAGAGGCAGGCGUUGAAGUACUUCUUUCAGACUUGGGUCUCAGUUCAACGUCUUCAUCCUUCCUUAUAAGUGCAUUCACAACAUUGUUGAUGCUUCCUUGUAUAGCUUUGGCCAUAAAGCUCAUGGAUAUCACUGGUCGAAGGAUGCUGCUGCUGACUACGAUUCCAGUGUUGAUAGUAGCACUCAUCAUUCUCGUGGUUACCAACCUUUUGACCUUGGGUUCAGUUCUUCAUGCAGUACUAUCAACCACUUGUGUUAUCGUCUAUUUCUGCGUCUUUGUCAUGGCGUAUGGGCCAAUUCCAAAUAUCCUGUGCUCCGAAAUAUUUCCCACAAGGGUGCGUGGCCUGUGCAUUGCCAUCUGCGCCUUGGUGUACUGGAUUGGGGACAUCAUCGUCACUUACUCGCUACCUGUGAUGCUUGAUUCAAUGGGCCUAUCCGGUGCCUUUGGGAUUUACGCAGCGGUUUGUGUCAUUUCUUUUGUAUUCAUCUUCUUGAAGGUUCCGGAAACCAAAGGCAUGCCCCUCGAAGUCAUCACCGAGUUCUUUUCUGUUGGUGCAAGACAAGUUGCGGCUGCCAAAAACGAGUAAUUGCAAACUCGUGCAGUGUUACUGUGGACGUCCAUCUUGUCAAUUGCAGUGCAUUUGAAUAUUCAAGCAGGUUUACUCUUCAAUUUUGAUGCGUGUAUGAUAAAGUAGCUCGAGUAUUUAGGAUUGGAGAUUAUAGAGUAAGAAAGCUUAGCUGACUGGGUUGAGUCCUUUGACUCUUCAAUUUUCAUGUCCUUAUUUAAAUAAACCAUAUUCAAGAGCCAAAUGUAGUACUGGAUUUGCCGAGUGUUUUUA